GACGAACCGUGCGAACGUUGUUCGGAAUCACUGGGCUUAAAGGGCGCGUAGGCGGCUUGCCAAGUCAGGGGUGAAAUCCUGCAGCUUAACUGUAGAAGGGCCUUUGAUACUGGCGAGCUCGAGGGAGGUAGGGGUAUGUGGAACUUCCGGUGGAGCGGUGAAAUGCGUUGAUAUCGGAAGGAACGCCGGUGGCGAAAGCGACGUACUGGACCUCUUCUGACGCUGAGGCGCGAAAGCCAGGGGAGCGAACGGG
Molecule: ribosomal RNA, 253 nt
Filed under: uncultured bacterium
Lineage: Bacteria
Description: partial 16S ribosomal RNA
Rfam family: Bacterial small subunit ribosomal RNA
Source: RNAcentral